This 506-nucleotide ribosomal RNA is filed under the name Vibrio sp. HDEP27. RNAcentral's name for it is "bacterial SSU rRNA". It matches the Rfam family "Bacterial small subunit ribosomal RNA", at positions 380 to 877 of the family's 1533-position model. The record is from RNAcentral. Lineage: Bacteria; Pseudomonadati; Pseudomonadota; Gammaproteobacteria; Vibrionales; Vibrionaceae.
AGCCUGAUGCAGCCAUGCCGCGUGUGUGAAGAAGGCCUUCGGGUUGUAAAGCACUUUCAGUCGUGAGGAAGGUGGUAGUGUUAAUAGCACUAUCAUUUGACGUUAGCGACAGAAGAAGCACCGGCUAACUCCGUGCCAGCAGCCGCGGUAAUACGGAGGGUGCGAGCGUUAAUCGGAAUUACUGGGCGUAAAGCGCAUGCAGGUGGUUUGUUAAGUCAGAUGUGAAAGCCCGGGGCUCAACCUCGGAAUAGCAUUUGAAACUGGCAGACUAGAGUACUGUAGAGGGGGGUAGAAUUUCAGGUGUAGCGGUGAAAUGCGUAGAGAUCUGAAGGAAUACCGGUGGCGAAGGCGGCCCCCUGGACAGAUACUGACACUCAGAUGCGAAAGCGUGGGGAGCAAACAGGAUUAGAUACCCUGGUAGUCCACGCCGUAAACGAUGUCUUACUUGUAGUUUGUGGCCUUGAGCCGUGGCUUUCGGAGCUAACGCGUUAAGUAGACCGCCUGGG